This 407-nucleotide ribosomal RNA is filed under the name uncultured rumen bacterium. RNAcentral describes it as "bacterial SSU rRNA". It matches the Rfam family "Bacterial small subunit ribosomal RNA", at positions 509 to 916 of the family's 1533-position model. The record is from RNAcentral.
CAGCAGCCGCGGUAAUACGAAGGGGGCUAGCGUUGCUCGGAAUUACUGGGCGUAAAGGGCGCGUAGGCGGACAGUUAAGUUGGGGGUGAAAGCCCGGGGCUCAACCUCGGAAUUGCCUUCAAUACUGGCUGUCUUGAGUACGGGAGAGGUGAGUGGAACUCCGAGUGUAGAGGUGAAAUUCGUAGAUAUUCGGAAGAACACCAGUGGCGAAGGCGACUCACUGGCCCGUUACUGACGCUGAGGCGCGAAAGCGUGGGGAGCAAACAGGAUUAGAUACCCUGGUAGUCCACGCCGUAAACGAUGAGUGCUAGUUGUCGGCAUGCAUGCAUGUCGGUGACGCAGCUAACGCAUUAAGCACUCCGCCUGGGGAGUACGGUCGCAAGAUUAAAACUCAAAGGAAUUGACGG